Molecule: long non-coding RNA, 1674 nt
Organism: Scylla paramamosain (green mud crab)
Lineage: Eukaryota; Metazoa; Arthropoda; Malacostraca; Decapoda; Portunidae
Exons: 5
Source: RefSeq, a predicted model, not a curated record
UGCCUUCUUGUCCUAUAAUUCAGAGAGCCGAGGUUAAACGCUUAGUAUUUAUUAUUUUUUAGUAGGUGAGAAGACUGAGGUGGUGAUGGUGGCGGCGGCGGUGGUAGUGAUAAAGAAGAUGAGUUCCUACCCGACUAACUGUUUCGCACAACUCCAUGUUAGGUACCGAACACUCAGGACUGUCCACUCAUUCAUGUGCUCGAUAUCGGGAUGGUCACCGGGACUUCGAUCAUUGGUCCUUUGAAUUUUUGUUUAAUUUAUGUUACCUUACGUGGCAGGGAGGCUGGGUGCGGCAAUAGUAUAUGGUACGCUGUGUAUGGUACUGAAUGCAAGAAUGCACACACACACACGUACAUUCGCUGAGGAUUUCAACUCGUCAAACAAUGGCGGAGGUUUGGUGGAGAGAAGAGCCAGGGGAAGCCAGCAGUAUUGUGCUGUCAAGAUGGAUAUAUUGACAAGAGGGCAACUUGCUGCUCACUCGUGUUCCCGUAAUUCGAUACACCAUGCAAUACUUCAUCGGAAAUCAUGUUCAGUGUUUGCUGCAGAGUAUCAACAAGGAAGUGUCAGGUGUGGUAGUUAUCGUUGCACACAUUGGGACGUUGGCACUCCUGACGCCUGACGAGUGCGGCCUGAGGGGAGCCAACUAGCAUCGUUUGCUAUAACACAUGCGUCUUUUUUUUCACGAGGCCCGCCACUCAUCAUAAAUAUGCUAUGUUUACUGGGACUCAGCCAUAUGAAAGAAGGGCAUGGUAUGUGGCUGGAAGCAAACCCACUAACACAGGUCUUAACUGGGAAAUAGAUGUUGGCGGGGGGAGACGGUACACGGAAGGAGGUGGGCAGCAGGGGGACCUACGCUGUUAGUCACGGCAGCAUUCAAACAAAGGAGUCAGAUGGUGUUGUGUGAUGGAAGUGUGUUUGUGCGUGUGCUCCUAUCGUGUUUCUCGCGUCCGGGGGUGUCUGGUGUGGUUUUCCUGUUUACGCCGAAGCUGUGGGAUCUGAAGGUGUUCCUGGAGGUCACCGCAGGACGGCCUCCGGAAGGCCGUCUGUGAGCGUCACGUGUGUUGGGGAGGACAAAGACUCAUCCCUCGGGGCGUCGGGAUCUUGCUAACCUGAACAAUGUCAAUCUUCCUUCACCUGCAGUGCGUCAACCCUCCCCGGGAAUAUCGAGGGUGUGGUCGUGGCGAGGCAGACGCGGCCUUCACCUGGCGCGUCACCUGAGCACCGCAGAGACACUUCAGUCGAUGCGUGGCUCCAUAACAACAUAAGAACAUCAGCUGCAAAAAGCCAGCACGGAUGAUUUGACUCCUGAUGGGGACUUUCAGCUCUCCGUGACUGAUGAAAGGUGAAUGCGGGACUUUUACUUGUAACAAGGGAAUGGAAUGAAGAGAAUAUACUGGAGGAAGAAAAUAAAGGAAGAAGACACUGUUCAAUUACUGCUCUUUGUAUGUUUUUGUUUAUCAAUUCUCAUUCAUCUGCACUCCUCUCGACGAGACGAGCAUCGCUAACUGUAAAGAGGGCUCACAGAUACCAAAGGGAUAUGUACUGGCCGUGCUUUCGUUGGCAGCACACAUAAAUGAAGGAAAAUAAUAAAACUGACUGAAUUUCUCAUAAGUACUGUAUCAUUAAUAAUAUUUGAAAAUUGUAAGAAAUGGCAAGCAAAGUAUGGAAAAAUCA